This 385-nucleotide unclassified non-coding RNA is filed under the name Hevea brasiliensis (rubber tree). The record is from RNAcentral. Lineage: Eukaryota; Viridiplantae; Streptophyta; Magnoliopsida; Malpighiales; Euphorbiaceae.
CUCUAGUGGAUAGGCCACUGCAUGCAGUUUAAGUGAUAACUGGACCUAUAAUCUUGAGUCCAAUCUAGUUGCAUUUGAGAGGGAAGUGUUGGAUGUGCCACAUUGCCAACAAACAAGAAAAAGCAAGGAAAUAUAAAGCAAGAGAAGCCAAGCCAAAUUGGCUUGAGCCGUUUUAGUGGAGACAAAGCUAAACAUAUGAACCUUGUCGACAUUCAUCCACACUCUUUGGAUCAAAGAAUUUCACAAUAUUAAACAAAAUUCAAUUUCAAGUGUUAUGUCAAAGUUAUGAAUGAAUGGAUAUAUGUAUGGAAAUAGGCAAAAGUGAGCAGAUAUAGAGACAAAGUGAUGAAAUAUUGAAAGCUUAGAAAUUAUAGUCAUUGUAGAA